UAUUUCAGGUUGAACAUGCAUCUCUAACUCAUAUUCAAUGAUGUUUUUUUCUUGUCGGUUUCAUCUAUAUAUGGUUGUACCACAGAAAAAUGGUGUAUUGUUGCAUAUGAAUGGAAAAGCUUGCAGAUUAGCUGUGUUUUUUUUUGCCGUGUACAACUCCUAGUACGUAGAUUUUUAGAUUUUUAUGACGUUAAUACUAGCAAUAAUUUUUCGGAUAAAAUGGGAAAUCAGUAUACAAAACGAUUAUUUCUAAGGGGAUAGUGCCCCUCAGGGAUAAGACAUUUGAUAUAUAAAAAAAGUAAUGUUAGCACUAUCAAUCUAUAUUUCUUUUCGGAUAGUAUUGAAGUUGUAUCUAUGGUUUAUGUCUGGGAUGAUGGAGGUAUUUCUGUUGAAGUAACUUUUGCUUCAAAUACGUUGUCAUUACAGUAUUACGCUAAAGAUGAAGAGAGUAGACAAUGCUAACAAUAUUCAAGAAAACAAUUAUUUGGUCCUUAUCUAUGCUUGAAUAAACUCUGCUCUAUUAAAAUAAAUGAAUAAAGCAAUACAAACAACAAGAAUAAAACGAAACUCUUACUAACAAUGUAUCUUCCCAUUGGCUAAGCUAUAGGAUAUUCUCUGUAUAGUUUGUCAGCUUAAUGGUCAUAUUAAUCUUGUCAAAGGUUAUUCCAAUUUUUUCUGGAUAGCCCAGUUGCAUUGUUCUCUAAAUGGUCGUUUGAUGUCAAUUUUUGAAAGAUUUUGAGAAUAAAUGACACUUGAUGACAUUUAUUAUUUGCUUUUUUGAUAUUUGAACAAAUUUGGGAGUACCAAGCCUAUUUUGCCAGCACUAAGUCUUCGGAACAUUAUUAUUCUGAUUACAGUACUUGUUCAAUUUUAACCUUUGAAACCGAACUUUAAGAUGUUCACAAUGUGUUAAUUUUGUGAAAUGAACAACAUGAAAUUGACACUUACUGUGCUUGGGUACUUAACGCGUUUGCACUUACAUGAUUACGGUUAUUUUUCAUAAAUGAUUAUUAUGUGUUGCUACUAUUCAUAUAUAAUGUUAUAAACAUUAAAAUGUCAAAGAUAUACUGUUUUAUUGUCACUUGACUUUGAACAAGUUCCAAAUGUAUAAUUUGUUUUCUGUUUUGUCCAUGAACACAAAUUAUUAUCAUACAUCCAUUUCAUUUAAACUCUGUUGGAUAGAUGUCUCAUUGGCAAUCAUACCACAUCUUCUUAUUUUCAUAGUAAAGCCUAGAGAAGAGUUUUUUUGUAGCUCUAAAUACAAUAUCUUUAAAAUAGUGUUAAACUAUAAUAGAUGAAUAGAUUGGAAAAUGUUAGUUUGCAGAAUUCAUGAAAAAUAAAACUUUCUCUGACCUGUAUAAAUGCUUGAAUGAAAUUUGCUUAACUGAUACAACUGAAGCAUUAAAAUCAACGAAUGCAGCGCAACUCGCACUUACAUGUAUGUUCCCUUAGGCAUGCCAAUACAAUUGACAACACAUAUAUAUUACGCUUUUUGCCAUUAUCCUGUUUUUAAACAGAUAUACAUGUAGUUAAUGCCACAAGGAUUUACUAUAUAAAUCCAGCUGACCUUUUAUUAAGGUGUAUUCCUUGUACAUGUACUUAUUAAUUACCAGGGCUAUCCUGUGUAAUGACUGUAUCAUCGUCCUAAAGGUUUAGGAACACACCACAUAAAACACCCUAUACAACAUCAUAGUCUCGUUUUCAAAGUCACUCCUAUUCUUACUUUGAAGUUCGAGCCAAAAAUGGUUAAUUGAAUUUGAAAAUUGAUAAACUUUUGAAAUAUUUUCUUUUUCUGUUUUAUAAACACUUAUCUAAUACUAGUAUACAUGUAUGGUAUAUUCAACGCUGUGUGGUUGUAUUGACGGACUUUUUUUUAAAACUGUUUCUAAAAUUGGACUGGAUAAUUUGGCGUAAAUUGUAAUGUUUCAUUCAGUGAUACUGUUAAUUGCAAUGAUUAGCAUAGUAAAAUGUUCAAUUAUGAUUAAUUUUACUUAUACAUGACGUCACAAAACUGUUAGAUGCGAUGAUGAAGAGUGUAAAUAGUAAAAUGCUCCAUAACGAUAUACUUAUUCAUGUAUAUGACGUCAUAAACCAAAAUGUCCAAUUACUACAUAGUGCCUUUACGAAGACCACUUACGCCAAAACCUAAUAUUCCUAUUUCAGCACAAACCAAGGACAUUCAAGUGUAACAAGGUUUAAAG
RNAcentral lists this long non-coding RNA (2201 nucleotides) under Mytilus galloprovincialis (Mediterranean mussel). Lineage: Eukaryota; Metazoa; Mollusca; Bivalvia; Mytilida; Mytilidae. The record is from RNAcentral.